RNAcentral lists this unclassified non-coding RNA (21 nucleotides) under Chlamydomonas reinhardtii. RNAcentral describes it as "small RNA Cre_2830". Lineage: Eukaryota; Viridiplantae; Chlorophyta; Chlorophyceae; Chlamydomonadales; Chlamydomonadaceae. The record is from RNAcentral.
UCUUGUCCUCAAUGCUGGCGG